GUGUUCGCUUCAGCAGCACAUACACUAACGCUGGAAUGAAUCAGAGAGGAUUAGCAUGGCCCCUGUGCAUGGAAUAUGUGCAAAUUCAUGAAGCCUUCCACAUCUAU
Small nuclear RNA from Saimiri boliviensis boliviensis (Bolivian squirrel monkey), 107 nucleotides. NCBI's taxonomy places the organism in Eukaryota, Metazoa, Chordata, Mammalia, Primates, Cebidae. The record is from Ensembl.